CUUGACUCUGGGAUAAGCCUGGGAAACUGGGUCUAAUACCGGAUAUGACUCCUCAUCGCAUGGUGGGGGGUGGAAAGCUUUUUGUGGUUUUGGAUGGACUCGCGGCCUAUCAGCUUGUUGGUGAGGUAAUGGCUCACCAAGGCGACGACGGGUAGCCGGCCUGAGAGGGUGACCGGCCACACUGGGACUGAGACACGGCCCAGACUCCUACGGGAGGCAGCAGUGGGGAAUAUUGCACAAUGGGCGAAAGCCUGAUGCAGCGACGCCGCGUGAGGGAUGACGGCCUUCGGGUUGUAAACCUCUUUCAGUAGGGAAGAAGGGAAAGUGACGGUACCUGCAGAAGAAGCGCCGGCUAACUACGUGCCAGCAGCCGCGGUAAUACGUAGGGCGCAAGCGUUAUCCGGAAUUAUUGGGCGUAAAGAGCUCGUAGGCGGUUUGUCGCGUCUGCCGUGAAAGUCCGGGGCUCAACUCCGGAUCUGCGGUGGGUACGGGCAGACUAGAGUGAUGUAGGGGAGACUGGAAUUCCUGGUGUAGCGGUGAAAUGCGCAGAUAUCAGGAGGAACACCGAUGGCGAAGGCAGGUCUCUGGGCAUUAACUGACGCUGAGGAGCGAAAGCAUGGGGAGCGAACAGGAUUAGAUACCCUGGUAGUCCAUGCCGUAAACGUUGGGCACUAGGUGUGGG
Molecule: ribosomal RNA, 682 nt
Filed under: Arthrobacter sp. A5ATB
Lineage: Bacteria; Bacillati; Actinomycetota; Actinomycetes; Micrococcales; Micrococcaceae
Description: bacterial SSU rRNA
Rfam family: Bacterial small subunit ribosomal RNA
Source: RNAcentral